Molecule: ribosomal RNA, 468 nt
Filed under: uncultured bacterium
Lineage: Bacteria
Description: partial 16S ribosomal RNA
Rfam family: Bacterial small subunit ribosomal RNA
Source: RNAcentral
GACGAACGCUGGCGGCGUGCUUAACACAUGCAAGUCGAACGGAAAGGCCCUGCUUUUGUUGGGUGCUCGAGUGGCGAACGGGUGAGUAACACGUGAGUAACCUGCCCUUGACUUUGGGAUAACUUCAGGAAACUGUGGCUAAUACCGGAUAGGAGCUCCUGCUGCAUGGGGGGGGUUGGAAAGCUUCGGCGGUUGGGGAUGGACUCGCGGCUUAUCAGCUUGUUGGUGGGGUAGUGGCUUACCAAGGCUUUGACGGGUAGCCGGCCUGAGAGGGGGACCGGCCACAAUGGGACUGAGAGACGGCCCAGACUCCUACGGGAGGCAGCAGGGGGGAAUAUUGCACAAUGGGCGGAAGCCUGAUGCAGCAACGCCGCGUGCGGGAUGACGGCCUUCGGGUUGUAAACCGCUUUCGCCUGUGACGAAGCGUGAGUGACGGUAAUGGGUAAAGAAGCACCGGCUAACUACGUG